CUCAGGAUGAACGCUGGCGGCGUGCCUAAUACAUGCAAGUCGAGCGAACGGACGAGAAGCUUGCUUCUCUGAUGUUAGCGGCGGACGGGUGAGUAACACGUGGAUAACCUACCUAUAAGACUGGGAUAACUUCGGGAAACCGGAGCUAAUACCGGAUAAUAUUUUGAACCGCAUGGUUCAAAAGUGAAAGACGGUCUUGCUGUCACUUAUAGAUGGAUCCGCGCUGCAUUAGCUAGUUGGUAAGGUAACGGCUUACCAAGGCAACGAUGCAUAGCCGACCUGAGAGGGUGAUCGGCCACACUGGAACUGAGACACGGUCCAGACUCCUACGGGAGGCAGCAGUAGGGAAUCUUCCGCAAUGGGCGAAAGCCUGACGGAGCAACGCCGCGUGAGUGAUGAAGGUCUUCGGAUCGUAAAACUCUGUUAUUAGGGAAGAACAUAUGUGUAAGUAACUGUGCACAUCUUGACGGUACCUAAUCAGAAAGCCACGGCUAACUACGUGCCAGCAGCCGCGGUAAUACGUAGGUGGCAAGCGUUAUCCGGAAUUAUUGGGCGUAAAGCGCGCGUAGGCGGUUUUUUAAGUCUGAUGUGAAAGCCCACGGCUCAACCGUGGAGGGUCAUUGGAAACUGGAAAACUUGAGUGCAGAAGAGGAAAGUGGAAUUCCAUGUGUAGCGGUGAAAUGCGCAGAGAUAUGGAGGAACACCAGUGGCGAAGGCGACUUUCUGGUCUGUAACUGACGCUGAUGUGCGAAAGCGUGGGGAUCAAACAGGAUUAGAUACCCUGGUAGUCCACGCCGUAAACGAUGAGUGCUAAGUGUUAGGGGGUUUCCGCCCCUUAGUGCUGCAGCUAACGCAUUAAGCACUCCGCCUGGGGAGUACGACCGCAAGGUUGAAACUCAAAGGAAUUGACGGGGACCCGCACAAGCGGUGGAGCAUGUGGUUUAAUUCGAAGCAACGCGAAGAACCUUACCAAAUCUUGACAUCCUUUGACAACUCUAGAGAUAGAGCUUUCCCCUUCGGGGGACAAAGUGACAGGUGGUGCAUGGUUGUCGUCAGCUCGUGUCGUGAGAUGUUGGGUUAAGUCCCGCAACGAGCGCAACCCUUAAGCUUAGUUGCCAUCAUUAAGUUGGGCACUCUAAGUUGACUGCCGGUGACAAACCGGAGGAAGGUGGGGAUGACGUCAAAUCAUCAUGCCCCUUAUGAUUUGGGCUACACACGUGCUACAAUGGACAAUACAAAGGGCAGCGAAACCGCGAGGUCAAGCAAAUCCCAUAAAGUUGUUCUCAGUUCGGAUUGUAGUCUGAAACUCGACUACAUGAAGCUGGAAUCGCUAGUAAUCGUAGAUCAGCAUGCUACGGUGAAUACGUUCCCGGGUCUUGUACACACCGCCCGUCACACCACGAGAGUUUGUAACACCCGAAGCCGGUGGAGUAACCUUUUAGGAGCUAGCCGUCGAAGGUGGGACAAAUGAUUGGGGUGA
This 1480-nucleotide ribosomal RNA is filed under the name Staphylococcus aureus. RNAcentral describes it as "partial 16S ribosomal RNA". It matches the Rfam family "Bacterial small subunit ribosomal RNA". Lineage: Bacteria; Bacillati; Bacillota; Bacilli; Caryophanales; Staphylococcaceae. The record is from RNAcentral.